RNAcentral lists this ribosomal RNA (2771 nucleotides) under human gut metagenome. RNAcentral's name for it is "bacterial LSU rRNA". It matches the Rfam family "Bacterial large subunit ribosomal RNA". The record is from RNAcentral.
AGCGUACACGGUGGAUGCCCUGGCAGUCAGAGGCGAUGAAGGACGUGCUAAUCUGCGAAAAGCGUCGGUAAGGUGAUAUGAACCGUUAUAACCGGCGAUGUCCGAAUGGGGAAACCCAGUGCAAUUCGUUGCACUAUCGUUAACUGAAUACAUAGGUUAACGAGGCGAACCGGGGGAACUGAAACAUCUAAGUACCCCGAGGAAAAGAAAUCAACCGAGAUUCCCCCAGUAGCGGCGAGCGAACGGGGAGCAGCCCAGAGUCUGAAUCAGCUUGUGUGUUAGUGGAACGGUCUGGAAAGUCCGACGGUACAGGGUGAUAGUCCCGUACACCAAAAUGCACAGGCUGUGAACUCGAAGAGUAGGGCGGGACACGUGGUAUCCUGUCUGAAUAUGGGGGGACCAUCCUCCAAGGCUAAAUACUCCUGACUGACCGAUAGUGAACCAGUACCGUGAGGGAAAGGCGAAAAGAACCCCGGCGAGGGGAGUGAAAAAGAACCUGAAACCGUGUACGUACAAGCAGUGGGAGCACCUUCGGGUGUGACUGCGUACCUUUUGUAUAAUGGGUCAGCGACUUAUAUUCUGUAGCAAGGUUAACCGUAUAGGGGAGCCGCAGGGAAACCGAGUCUUAACUGGGCGUUAAGUUGCAGGGUAUAGACCCGAAACCCGGUGAUCUAGCCAUGGGCAGGUUGAAGGUUGGGUAACACUAACUGGAGGACCGAACCGACUAAUGUUGAAAAAUUAGCGGAUGACUUGUGGCUGGGGGUGAAAGGCCAAUCAAACCGGGAGAUAGCUGGUUCUCCCCGAAAGCUAUUUAGGUAGCGCCUCGUGAACUCAUCUUCGGGGGUAGAGCACUGUUUCGGCUAGGGGGUCAUCCCGACUUACCAACCCGAUGCAAACUACGAAUACCGAAGAAUGUUAUCACGGGAGACACACGGCGGGUGCUAACGUCCGUCGUGAAGAGGGAAACAACCCAGACCGCCAGCUAAGGUCCCAAAGUCAUGGUUAAGUGGGAAACGAUGUGGGAAGGCACAGACAGCCAGGAUGUUGGCUUAGAAGCAGCCAUCAUUUAAAGAAAGCGUAAUAGCUCACUGGUCGAGUCGGCCUGCGCGGAAGAUGUAACGGGGCUAAACCAUGCACCGAAGCUGCGGCAGCGACACUAUGUGUUGUUGGGUAGGGGAGCGUUCUGUAAGCCUGCGAAGGUGACCUGUGAGGGUUGCUGGAGGUAUCAGAAGUGCGAAUGCUGACAUAAGUAACGAUAAAGCGGGUGAAAAGCCCGCUCGCCGGAAGACCAAGGGUUCCUGUCCAACGUUAAUCGGGGCAGGGUGAGUCGACCCCUAAGGCGAGGCCGAAAGGCGUAGUCGAUGGGAAACAGGUUAAUAUUCCUGUACUUGGUGUUACUGCGAAGGGGGGACGGAGAAGGCUAUGUUAGCCGGGCGACGGUUGUCCCGGUUUAAGCAUGUAGGCUGAUUGUCCAGGCAAAUCCGGAUAAUCAAGGCUGAGGUGUGAUGACGAGGCACUACGGUGCUGAAGUAACAAAUGCCCUGCUUCCAGGAAAAGCCUCUAAGCAUCAGGUAACAUCAAAUCGUACCCCAAACCGACACAGGUGGUCAGGUAGAGAAUACCAAGGCGCUUGAGAGAACUCGGGUGAAGGAACUAGGCAAAAUGGUGCCGUAACUUCGGGAGAAGGCACGCUGGUGUGUAGGUGAAGUCCCUGCGGAUGGAGCUGAGACCAGUCGAAGAUACCAGCUGGCUGCAACUGUUUAUUAAAAACACAGCACUGUGCAAACACGAAAGUGGACGUAUACGGUGUGACGCCUGCCCGGUGCCGGAAGGUUAAUUGAUGGGGUUAUCCGUAAGGAGAAGCUCUUGAUCGAAGCCCCGGUAAACGGCGGCCGUAACUAUAACGGUCCUAAGGUAGCGAAAUUCCUUGUCGGGUAAGUUCCGACCUGCACGAAUGGCGUAAUGAUGGCCAGGCUGUCUCCACCCGAGACUCAGUGAAAUUGAACUCGCUGUGAAGAUGCAGUGUACCCGCGGCAAGACGGAAAGACCCCGUGAACCUUUACUAUAGCUUGACACUGAACAUUGAGCCUUGAUGUGUAGGAUAGGUGGGAGGCUUUGAAGCGUGGACGCCAGUCUGCGUGGAGCCAACCUUGAAAUACCACCCUUUAAUGUUUGAUGUUCUAACGUUGGCCCCUUAUCGGGGUUGCGGACAGUGUCUGGUGGGUAGUUUGACUGGGGCGGUCUCCUCCCAAAGCGUAACGGAGGAGCACGAAGGUUAGCUAAUCCUGGUCGGACAUCAGGAGGUUAGUGCAAUGGCAUAAGCUAGCUUGACUGCGAGCGUGACGGCGCGAGCAGGUGCGAAAGCAGGUCAUAGUGAUCCGGUGGUUCUGAAUGGAAGGGCCAUCGCUCAACGGAUAAAAGGUACUCCGGGGAUAACAGGCUGAUACCGCCCAAGAGUUCAUAUCGACGGCGGUGUUUGGCACCUCGAUGUCGGCUCAUCACAUCCUGGGGCUGAAGUAGGUCCCAAGGGUAUGGCUGUUCGCCAUUUAAAGUGGUACGCGAGCUGGGUUUAGAACGUCGUGAGACAGUUCGGUCCCUAUCUGCCGUGGGCGCUGGAGAAUUGAGGGGGGCUGCUCCUAGUACGAGAGGACCGGAGUGGACGCAUCACUGGUGUUCGGGUUGUCAUGCCAAUGGCACUGCCCGGUAGCUAAAUGCGGAAGAGAUAAGUGCUGAAAGCAUCUAAGCACGAAACUUGCCCCGAGAUGAGUUCU